This 465-nucleotide ribosomal RNA is filed under the name uncultured bacterium. RNAcentral describes it as "bacterial SSU rRNA". It matches the Rfam family "Bacterial small subunit ribosomal RNA", at positions 339 to 796 of the family's 1533-position model. The record is from RNAcentral.
CUACGGGAGGCAGCAGUGGGGAAUUUUGGACAAUGGGGGCAACCCUGAUCCAGCAAUGCCGCGUGUGUGAAGAAGGCCUUCGGGUUGUAAAGCACUUUUGGCGGGAACGAAACAGCACUUGCUAAUACCGAGUGCGAAUGACGGUACCCGCAGAAUAAGCACCGGCUAACUACGUGCCAGCAGCCGCGGUAAUACGUAGGGUGCAAGCGUUAAUCGGAAUUACUGGGCGUAAAGCGUGCGCAGGCGGCUUUGUAAGACAGAUGUGAAAGCCCCGGGCUUAACCUGGGAAGUGCAUUUGUGACUGCAAGGCUAGAGUGCGUCAGAGGGAGGUGGAAUUCCGCGUGUAGCAGUGAAAUGCGUAGAGAUGCGGAGGAACACCGAUGGCGAAGGCAGCCUCCUGGGAUGACACUGACGCUCAUGCACGAAAGCGUGGGGAGCAAACAGGAUUAGAUACCCUGGUAGUCC